GGUGAACGCUGACAGAAUGCUUAACACAUGCAAGUCAACUUGAAUUUGGGUUUUUAACUUCGGUUUGGGUGGCGGACGGGUGAGUAACGCGUAAAGAACUUGCCUCACAGCUAGGGACAACAUUUGGAAACGAAUGCUAAUACCUAAUAUUAUGAUAAUAGGGCAUCCUAUAAUUAUGAAAGCUAUAAGCGCUGUGAGAGAGCUUUGCGUCCCAUUAGCUAGUUGGAGAGGUAACGGCUCACCAAGGCGAUGAUGGGUAGCCGGCCUGAGAGGGUGAUCGGCCACAAGGGGACUGAGACACGGCCCUUACUCCUACGGGAGGCAGCAGUGGGGAAUAUUGGACAAUGGACCAAGAGUCUGAUCCAGCAAUUCUGUGUGCACGAUGAAGUUUUUCGGAAUGUAAAGUGCUUUCAGUUGGGAAGAAAGAAAUGACGGUACCAACAGAAGAAGUGACGGCUAAAUACGUG
Molecule: ribosomal RNA, 467 nt
Filed under: uncultured bacterium
Lineage: Bacteria
Description: partial 16S ribosomal RNA
Rfam family: Bacterial small subunit ribosomal RNA
Source: RNAcentral